CCAGACUCCUACGGGAGGCAGCAGUGGGGAAUAUUGGGCAAUGGGCGCAAGCCUGACCCAGCAAUGCCGCGUGAAGGAAGAAGGCCCUCGGGUUGUAAACUUCUUUUAUCAGGGACGAAGGAUGUGACGGUACCUGAUGAAUAAGCUCCGGCUAACUACGUGCCAGCAGCCGCGGUAAUACGUAGGGAGCAAGCGUUAUCCGGAUUUACUGGGUGUAAAGGGCGCGUAGGCGGGAUGGCAAGUCAGAUGUGAAAACCAUGGGCUCAACCUGUGGCCUGCAUUUGAAACUGUGUUUCUUGAGUACUGGAGAGGCAGACGGAAUUCCUAGUGUAGCGGUGAAAUGCGUAGAUAUUAGGAGGAACACCAGUGGCGAAGGCGGUCUGCUGGACAGCAACUGACGCUGAGGCGCGAAAGCGUGGGGAGCAAACAGGAUUAGAUACCCCCGUAC
RNAcentral lists this ribosomal RNA (448 nucleotides) under uncultured bacterium. RNAcentral describes it as "bacterial SSU rRNA". It matches the Rfam family "Bacterial small subunit ribosomal RNA", at positions 331 to 793 of the family's 1533-position model. The record is from RNAcentral.